AAAUCAUCCUCACAAUUAUAAAAGCAAUAGAAUUUUUUCUCUCUCAUUAUAAUGAUGUUCUAUUUUCUGAUCUGAAGGCCGGUGGCCCCAUGGAGGUGCGACUGCUCAAGUCUCGUCUCCUCCGUCCUCACGGAUCAAACCUUCCUUAUGCUUCACUCCCUUUUGUUCAAGGAAGCCUUAAUGUGUUUGGCUGGAGACUUCUGAGGAAAGGCCAUCGGAAGGAAGAGGACUCGAUUAGCCAUGUCUCGAUUGUUUACCGUACCGGUCCGGAUCCGUUUUUUGGGUUGCUUUGUCUCCAUCCUCUCAAGGGCUUAUCAGUCUGAUGUCUGCUCAAGAAACUCUUCAUCUUCCUUAACCAGUUCUAAGAAAGCUAAUGAAAUUGAGUCUGAAAUCAUGUGGAACCAUUAGAGAAACAGAGUUCUUCUGUUUGUGUCUAUACAAUCUUGAAGAGAUUGAGCUUAGGACAUGUAGAAGUAUUUUUUUGAUAAAGAAAGAAGUAUUGGUGAUGUGGUUCUGCUGAAAGUUUCAGAGAUUUUCGAAUCUCUCAAGUCUCUCUUGAUAUAUGACGGUAGUAGGAAAUACACUUUAGUUUAUUUCAUGAACAAUUCUAGAUGCAAUUAUAUUUUUUGAAUCGUUAGAUUUGCGUCUACCGACAUCUCAUCUCUCUUGCUGCAAAUUUUAAAUCUUUAUUUUCUGACAUGAUACAGUUUAAAGGCAUAUCCAGAGUAUAUGGUUCGAUUUUGAGAGCUUAUUAAAAAAAAUUUGGAUCACAAGAGUAUAAGACAGAUAUAUAUGUAUCACUCUCUUCCCUGAAACCAAUGAUAAUCACCAUUAUGAGUUUGUAGGAAUGGUUUCCAGAAGCUGAUAAGAUCAAAGAUUCAGCUAGACAAAGCAAGCCGCUUGGGGAACCAAAAACUAGAGACCAAAGUGAGCAAGGACGCUGCCAGGGCAUCACCAUGUGGCUCACCGUGUAACGGUCUUCGAUCUCGGAUGCUGCAGCCCAUAUGUAAAUUUCGCAGUGGCCAAGGCUCGAACCCAGAAGCGGACACUUUUAGUUUUAAAUUUAUUUUGUGAAAAAAGAGUAUUUGUUGCUUGGAUCAUCUUCUUGCAUUUUCAUGUGACUAAGUUUGAGUCUCAGAGAGCAUCUUUACGAUUUGUUUUUUCAUGUAAUGUACUGUUUCAUAUUUGCAGUGCUUA
This is a long non-coding RNA of Brassica napus (rape), 1197 nucleotides long. RefSeq lists it as uncharacterized. The record is from RefSeq and is a predicted model, not a curated record. NCBI's taxonomy places the organism in Eukaryota, Viridiplantae, Streptophyta, Magnoliopsida, Brassicales, Brassicaceae. The transcript has 2 exons.